ACCAUGCAAGUCGAGCGGCAGCACGGGUACUUGUACCUGGUGGCGAGCGGCGGACGGGUGAGUAAUGCCUAGGAAUCUGCCUGGUAGUGGGGGAUAACGCUCGGAAACGGACGCUAAUACCGCAUACGUCCUACGGGAGAAAGCAGGGGACCUUCGGGCCUUGCGCUAUCAGAUGAGCCUAGGUCGGAUUAGCUAGUUGGUGAGGUAAUGGCUCACCAAGGCGACGAUCCGUAACUGGUCUGAGAGGAUGAUCAGUCACACUGGAACUGAGACACGGUCCAGACUCCUACGGGAGGCAGCAGUGGGGAAUAUUGGACAAUGGGCGAAAGCCUGAUCCAGCCAUGCCGCGUGUGUGAAGAAGGUCUUCGGAUUGUAAAGCACUUUAAGUUGGGAGGAAGGGCAGUUACCUAAUACGUAUCUGUUUUGACGUUACCGACAGAAUAAGCACCGGCUAACUCUGUGCCAGCAGCCGCGGUAAUACAGAGGGUGCAAGCGUUAAUCGGAAUUACUGGGCGUAAAGCGCGCGUAGGUGGUUUGUUAAGUUGAAUGUGAAAUCCCCGGGCUCAACCUGGGAACUGCAUCCAAAACUGGCAAGCUAGAGUAUGGUAGAGGGUGGUGGAAUUUCCUGUGUAGCGGUGAAAAUGCGUAUAUAUAGGAAGGAACACCAGCGGCGAAGGCGACCACCUGGACUGAUACUGACA
RNAcentral lists this ribosomal RNA (701 nucleotides) under Pseudomonas sp. LT90. Its description in RNAcentral is "bacterial SSU rRNA". It matches the Rfam family "Bacterial small subunit ribosomal RNA", at positions 53 to 745 of the family's 1533-position model. The record is from RNAcentral. Lineage: Bacteria; Pseudomonadati; Pseudomonadota; Gammaproteobacteria; Pseudomonadales; Pseudomonadaceae.